GACGAACGCUGGCGGCGUGCUUAACACAUGCAAGUCGAACGGAAAGGCCCUGCUUUUGUGGGGUGCUCGAGUGGCGAACGGGUGAGUAACACGUGAGUAACCUGCCCUUGACUUUGGGAUAACUUCAGGAAACUGGGGCUAAUACCGGAUAGGAGCUCCUGCUGCAUGGUGGGGGUUGGAAAGUUUCGGCGGUUGGGGAUGGACUCGCGGCUUAUCAGCUUGUUGGUGGGGUAGUGGCUUACCAAGGCUUUGACGGGUAGCCGGCCUGAGAGGGUGACCGGCCACAUUGGGACUGAGAUACGGCCCAGACUCCUACGGGAGGCAGCAGUGGGGAAUAUUGCACAAUGGGCGGAAGCCUGAUGCAGCAACGCCGCGUGCGGGAUGACGGCCUUCGGGUUGUAAACCGCUUUCGCCUGUGACGAAGCGUGAGUGACGGUAAUGGGUAAAGAAGCACCGGCUAACUACGUGCCAGCAGCCGCGGUGAUACGUACGGUGCGAGCGUUGUCCGGAUUUAUUGGGCGUAAAGGGCUCGUAGGUGGUUGAUCGCGUCGGAAGUGUAAUCUUGGGGCUUAACCCUGAGCGUGCUUUCGAUACGGGUUGACUUGAGGAAGGUAGGGGAGAAUGGAAUUCCUGGUGGAGCGGUGGAAUGCGCAGAUAUCAGGAGGAACACCAGUGGCGAAGGCGGUUCUCUGGGCCUUUCCUGACGCUGAGGAGCGAAAGCGUGGGGAGCGAACAGGCUUAGAUACCCUGGUAGUCCACGCUGUAAACGGUGGGUACUAGGUGUGGGGUCCAUUCCACGGGUUCCGUGCCGUAGCUAACGCUUUAAGUACCCCGCCUGGGGAGUACGGCCGCAAGGCUAAAACUCAAAGGAAUUGACGGGGCCCCGCACAAGCGGCGGAGCAUGCGGAUUAAUUCGAUGCAACGCGUAGAACCUUACCUGGGUUUGACAUGGAUCGGGAGUGCUCAGAGAUGGGUGUGCCUCUUUUGGGGUCGGUUCACAGGUGGUGCAUGGCUGUCGUCAGCUCGUGUCGUGAGAUGUUGGGUUAAGUCCCGCAACGAGCGCAACCCUUGUUCACUGUUGCCAGCACGUUAUGGUGGGGACUCAGUGGAGACCGCCGGGGUCAACUCGGAGGAAGGUGGGGAUGACGUCAAGUCAUCAUGCCCCUUAUGUCCAGGGCUUCACGCAUGCUACAAUGGCUGGUACAGAGAGUGGCGAGCCUGUGAGGGUGAGCGAAUCUCGGAAAGCCGGUCUCAGUUCGGAUUGGGGUCUGCAACUCGACCUCAUGAAGUCGGAGUCGCUAGUAAUCGCAGAUCAGCAACGCUGCGGUGAAUACGUUCCCGGG
RNAcentral lists this ribosomal RNA (1343 nucleotides) under uncultured bacterium. Its description in RNAcentral is "16S ribosomal RNA". It matches the Rfam family "Bacterial small subunit ribosomal RNA", at positions 28 to 1378 of the family's 1533-position model. The record is from RNAcentral.